Long non-coding RNA from Jaculus jaculus (lesser Egyptian jerboa), 264 nucleotides. RefSeq lists it as uncharacterized. NCBI's taxonomy places the organism in Eukaryota, Metazoa, Chordata, Mammalia, Rodentia, Dipodidae. The record is from RefSeq and is a predicted model, not a curated record. The transcript is spliced from 3 exons.
UGGAUGCUUCUUUCAUCAGUCAGUCUGCUUCAGGCAGUAAGGAGAAGCCACAAAAGCAGACCAUAGGACAAACACUCUGAGAGACCUGAGCUAAGUUCUGCAGCUGAUUUGAGAUGAAGGCAGAGACACAAAAAGGAGUCUGGAGAUGAAUUGCAUGAAAAUGAAGAUGAGAAAUAGGAGCUCAAAGAUGGGUGGAAUGGUGAAGAAAAAGAUUCCAACCAGGUCUCUCAGUGCUCUGUGUCAGCAGCAAAUGGUGUCUUCAGC